This 289-nucleotide ribosomal RNA is filed under the name uncultured bacterium. RNAcentral describes it as "partial 16S ribosomal RNA". It matches the Rfam family "Bacterial small subunit ribosomal RNA", at positions 775 to 1067 of the family's 1533-position model. The record is from RNAcentral.
GGAUUAGAUACCCUGGUAGUCCACGCUGUAAACGAUGGAUACUAGUUGUUGGGAACUUGUUCUCAGUGACGGAGCUAACGUAUUAAGUAUCCCGCCUGGGGAGUACGAUCGCAAGGUUGAAACUCAAAGGAAUUGACGGGGGCCCGCACAAGCGGUGGAGCAUGUGGUUUAAUUCGAUGCAACGCGAAGAACCUUACCUGGGCUUGAACUGUUAUUGACCGUACCAGAGAUGGUAUUUCCCUUCGGGGCAAUAUCAGAGGUGCUGCAUGGCUGUCGUCAGCUCGUGCCG